Molecule: long non-coding RNA, 712 nt
Organism: Homo sapiens (human)
Lineage: Eukaryota; Metazoa; Chordata; Mammalia; Primates; Hominidae
Gene: ALOX12P2
Product: arachidonate 12-lipoxygenase pseudogene 2
Source: Ensembl
CAGAGGGCCCAAGACCAGGGGUUCCUCAUCUCCUUAGAGUCCCGGGCUCAGCUCUGCCACUUUGUCACCAUGUGCAUCUUCACAUGCACAGGUCAGCAUGCUUCUAACCACCUGGGCCAGCUGGACUGGUACUCCUGGAUCCCUAAUGGCCCAUGCACCAUGCAGAAGCCCCCGCCCAUCUCUAAGGAUGUGACAGAGAAGGAUAUAGUGGACUUACUGCCCAAUCUCCACCAGCAUGAGGAGAAAUAUUUCUCUGGUCCUGAGCCCCAAGCUGUGCUGAGACAAUUCCAGGAGGAACUGGCUUCCAUGGACAAGGAGAUUGAGGUCCGGAAUGCAGUCCUGGACCUGCCCUGUGAGUACCUUUGACCCAGCAUGGUAGAGAACAGCGUGACCAUCUGAGAGGCCUUGCCCGCCUCAGCUCCAAAGCUCCACCAUCCCUGAGUGCCUUUGAGUAUUCCGUCCUCCUCACAUCCUCUGGUGAACAAAUUGUCCCCAAAGCUUUGUGGUCAGGGUAUCCAGAGCUGCUCACCACACAACUAUGGGGAAUACACAGUGAUGGUCCCCAUUGCAUUUGGAAGUGGCAUCCCCCAAAGCUGCCCUACCUUAAAUGUCCAUCCAGUCCUGCACUUCCUCACCCCGAUCCCUGCACACCUCCUCAUUGCCAAAGGACCUGGCUUAGAUACAAGUAAAAAUAUAUGAUUAAAUAACAAAA